RNAcentral lists this transfer RNA (75 nucleotides) under Pelomonas sp. Root1237. Its description in RNAcentral is "tRNA-Glu". It matches the Rfam family "tRNA". From Rfam's summary of the family: Transfer RNA (tRNA) molecules are approximately 80 nucleotides in length. Their secondary structure includes four short double-helical elements and three loops (D, anti-codon, and T loops). The record is from RNAcentral. Lineage: Bacteria; Pseudomonadati; Pseudomonadota; Betaproteobacteria; Burkholderiales; Sphaerotilaceae.
GCCCCGUUCGACUUCGGGUGAGGUCAGCUGGCUUUCAACCAGCACAGACGGGUUCGACUCCCGUACGGGGUACCA